UAACUGUUGUUUUGCUAGACA
This 21-nucleotide non-coding RNA is filed under the name Caenorhabditis elegans. Lineage: Eukaryota; Metazoa; Nematoda; Chromadorea; Rhabditida; Rhabditidae. The record is from RNAcentral.